This 475-nucleotide ribosomal RNA is filed under the name uncultured bacterium. RNAcentral's name for it is "SSU rRNA". It matches the Rfam family "Bacterial small subunit ribosomal RNA", at positions 26 to 518 of the family's 1533-position model. The record is from RNAcentral.
AGAAUCAACGCUGGCGGCGUGCCUAACACAUGCAAGUCGAACGAGAAAGUGGAGCAAUCCAUGAGUAAAGUGGCGACCGGGUGAGUAACACGUGACUAACCUACCUUCGAGUGGGGGAUAACCUAGGGAAACCUGGGCUAAUACCGCAUAACAUCUUUGGAUCGGAAGAACUGAAGAUCAAAGGAGCAAUUCGCUUGAAGAGGGGGUCGCGGCUGAUUAGCUAGUUGGCGGGGUAAUGGCCCACCAAGGCUUUGAUCGGUAGCCGGCCUGAGAGGGCGCACGGCCACACUGGAACUGAAACACGGUCCAGACUCCUACGGGAGGCAGCAGUGGGAAAUUUUGCGCAAUGGGGGAAACCCUGACGCAGCAACGCCGCGUGGAGGAUGAAGUCCCUUGGGACGUAAACUCCUUUCGACCGGGACGAUUAUGACGGUACCGGUGGAAGAAGCCCGGCUAACUUCGCGCCAGCAGCCGC